ACGUAGGAGACGAGCGUUAUCCGGAAUUACUGGGCGUAAAGCGUGCGCAGGCGGCUCUAUAAGACAGAUGUGAAAUCCCCGGGCUUAACCUGGGAACUGCGUUUGUGACUGUAGGGCUUGAGUGCGGCAGAGGGGGGUGGAAUUCCGCGUGUAGCAGUGAAAUGCGUAGAUAUGCGGAGGAGCACCGAUGGCGAAGGCAAUCCCCUGGGCCUGCACUGACGCUCAUGCACGAAAGCGUGUGGAGCAAACAG
This 251-nucleotide ribosomal RNA is filed under the name uncultured prokaryote. RNAcentral describes it as "partial 16S ribosomal RNA". It matches the Rfam family "Bacterial small subunit ribosomal RNA", at positions 525 to 775 of the family's 1533-position model. The record is from RNAcentral.